CCUACGGGAGGCAACAGUAAGGAAUAUUGGACAAUGGGCGCAAGCCUGAUCCAGCCAUGCCGCGUGAAGGAUUAAGGUCCUCUGGAUUGUAAACUUCUUUUAUAGGGGACGAAAAAAGGGCAUUCUUGCCCACUUGACGGUACCCUAUGAAUAAGCACCGGCUAACUCCGUGCCAGCAGCCGCGGUAAUACGGAGGGUGCAAGCGUUAUCCGGAUUCACUGGGUUUAAAGGGUGCGUAGGCGGGCAGGUAAGUCAGUGGUGAAAUCCUAGAGCUUAACUCUAGAACUGCCAUUGAUACUAUCUGUCUUGAAUAUUGUGGAGGUAAGCGGAAUAUGUCAUGUAGCAGUGAAAUGCUUAGAUAUGACAUAGAACACCUAUUGCGAAGGCAGCUUACUACGCAUAUAUUGACGCUGAGGCACGAAGGCGUGGGGAUCAAACAGGAUUAGAUACCCUGGUAGUCCACGCCCUAAACGAUGGAUACUCGACAUACGCGAUACACUGUGUGUGUCUGAGCGAAAGCAUUAAGUAUCCCACCUGGGAAGUACGUCCGCAAGGAUGAAACUUAAAUGAAUUGACGG
This 578-nucleotide ribosomal RNA is filed under the name uncultured bacterium. Its description in RNAcentral is "bacterial SSU rRNA". It matches the Rfam family "Bacterial small subunit ribosomal RNA", at positions 338 to 916 of the family's 1533-position model. The record is from RNAcentral.